This 324-nucleotide unclassified non-coding RNA is filed under the name soil metagenome. RNAcentral's name for it is "partial contains 5.8S ribosomal RNA, internal transcribed spacer 2, and large subunit ribosomal RNA". The stretch from base 1 to 120 matches the Rfam family "5.8S ribosomal RNA", at positions 35 to 154 of the family's 154-position model. The record is from RNAcentral.
GAUGAAGAACGUAGCGAAAUGCGAUACGUAAUGUGAAUUGCAGAAUUCAGUGAAUCAUCGAAUCUUUGAACGCACAUUGCGCCCUGUGGUAUUCCGCAGGGCAUGCCUGUUCGAGCGUCAUUUCAACCCUCAAGCCCCGCUUGGUGUUGGGCCCCGCCCGCUGUGGCCGGCCCUAAAGACAGUGGCGGCGCCGCCUGGCCCUCAGCGUAGUACAUCUCUCGCUCCAGGGUCCGGUGGCCGCCUGCCAGAACCCCCCAACUCUGUGGUUGACCUCGGAUCAGGUAGGGAUACCCGCUGAACUUAAGCAUAUCAAUAAGCGGAGGA